CUUUAAAUCCAGAGGCAGCAGUUGUUGGGACACAACCUAUGUGGACGCAUCCUGCUGGUUUCCGCACGUAAGGAACGCAUGACAGUCCACCUGAACGGGACGAGGCCUUGCUCUGACAGCGGUUUGGCCGACCAGGCUUAAGGUACUCUGGAAACAUUGAGGCUCGCAGACCUACAUCGGCGACCGCAAGUGCUCAUUUUUCACCAAACUAUGUUAACGUUGAUUUAUACACCCUGGGAUAAUUGAAAGCUCGAGUCAGCAAGGUCUCGUGAGGUUAUAAAGCCGCUCCAUCAUCAGUGUCCCUCUAAUGGCUUUCAAAUGUACCGGCUGCUCCAACGCCAAUUUUCACAUCAAUUUAUUGCACGUAAACAAGCUGUCGAGUCAAUGAACUGUGAAACUCUAGCGUAUAGAGCGGCUUUUACAUCAGAGCGGGGUGGAAAUAGAAAGCGGUGUGUGUAAAUGGAGACGCGGGGAGGGUUAGGGUUAGCCAACUACAUGCUAAUUUGCUUGAGACACAUGUGUUACUGUGAAUGUGGGAUGGGGUGUGAGACCUCAGAGACGUUAACAAGUUAAUUUAUAUGUUCCUGCAGUUUCUGCAUGACACGCAGUACGACCGAAGUCUUCACCACAUCUGACGGGGUUAAGCACGGCUAAAUAUUCCCACGUCGCCUUGCUCCUCGAGACCCAAGACGUCUAAAUAAUAACAUGAAACGACAUUUACACAAUAUUAUUUGGGGACUCCAGUCAGCGAAAGGUGGAUUUG
This is a non-coding RNA of Pimephales promelas (fathead minnow), 763 nucleotides long. NCBI's taxonomy places the organism in Eukaryota, Metazoa, Chordata, Actinopteri, Cypriniformes, Leuciscidae. The record is from RefSeq and is a predicted model, not a curated record.